UGCCAGCCGCCGCGGUAAUACGGAGGGUGCAAGCGUUGUUCGGAAUUAUUGGGCGUAAAGCGCGUGUAGGCGGUUCGUUAAGUCUGAUGUGAAAGCCCGGGGCUCAACCCCGGAAGUGCAUUGGAAACUGGCGAACUUGAGUACGGGAGAGGAAAGUGGAAUUCCGAGUGUAGGGGUGAAAUCCGUAGAUACGUGGAAGAACACCGGUGGCGAAGGCGGCCUUCUAGCUUGUUCCUGACGCUGAGGCGCGAAAGCAAGGGGAGCAAACAGGAUUAGAUA
RNAcentral lists this ribosomal RNA (279 nucleotides) under uncultured bacterium. RNAcentral's name for it is "partial 16S ribosomal RNA". It matches the Rfam family "Bacterial small subunit ribosomal RNA", at positions 506 to 784 of the family's 1533-position model. The record is from RNAcentral.